RNAcentral lists this transfer RNA (86 nucleotides) under Felis catus (domestic cat). It matches the Rfam family "tRNA". From Rfam's summary of the family: Transfer RNA (tRNA) molecules are approximately 80 nucleotides in length. Their secondary structure includes four short double-helical elements and three loops (D, anti-codon, and T loops). Lineage: Eukaryota; Metazoa; Chordata; Mammalia; Carnivora; Felidae. The record is from Rfam by way of RNAcentral.
GCCUGGGUGGCUCAGUCGGGUGAGCAUCUGACUUUGGUUCAGGUCAUGAUACCACGGUUUGUGGGUUCAAACCCCGCGUUUGGGCU